This 478-nucleotide ribosomal RNA is filed under the name uncultured bacterium. Its description in RNAcentral is "partial 16S ribosomal RNA". It matches the Rfam family "Bacterial small subunit ribosomal RNA", at positions 28 to 523 of the family's 1533-position model. The record is from RNAcentral.
GACGAACGCUGGCGGCGUGCUUAACACAUGCAAGUCGAACGGUAAGGCCCUUCGGGGUACACGAGUGGCGAACGGGUGAGUAACACGUGGGUGAUCUGCCCUGCACUUCGGGAUAAGCCUGGGAAACUGGGUCUAAUACCGGAUAGGACUCCGGACUGCAUGGUCUGGGGUGGAAAGCUUUUGCGGUGUGGGAUGGGCCCGCGGCCUAUCAGCUUGUUGGAGGAGUGAUGGCCUACCAAGGCGACGACGGGUAGCCGGCCUGAGAGGGUGACCGGCCACACUGGGACUGAGAUACGGCCCAGACUCCUACGGGAGGCAGCAGUGGGGAAUAUUGCACAAUGGGCGCAAGCCUGAUGCAGCGACGCCGCGUGAGGGAUGACGGCCUUCGGGUUGUAAACCUCUUUCAGCAUCGACGAAGCGAAAGUGACGGUAGGUGCAGAAGAAGGACCGGCCAACUACGUGCCAGCCGCCGCAGUAA